AUUGAACGCUGGCGGCAGGCCUAACACAUGCAAGUCGAGCGGAUGAAGGGAUCUUGCUCCUGGAUUCAGCGGCGGACGGGUGAGUAAUGCCUAGGAAUCUGCCUGGUAGUGGGGGAUAACGUCCGGAAACGGGCGCUAAUACCGCAUACGUCCUGAGGGAGAAAGUGGGGGAUCUUCGGACCUCACGCUAUCAGAUGAGCCUAGGUCGGAUUAGCUAGUUGGUGGGGUAAAGGCCUACCAAGGCGACGAUCCGUAACUGGUCUGAGAGGAUGAUCAGUCACACUGGAACUGAGACACGGUCCAGACUCCUACGGGAGGCAGCAGCGGGGAAUAUUGGACAAUGGGCGAAAGCCUGAUCCAGCCAUGCCGCGUGUGUGAAGAAGGUCUUCGGAUUGUAAAGCACUUUAAGUUGGGAGGAAGGGCAGUAAGUUAAUACCUUGCUGUUUUGACGUUACCAACAGAAUAAGCACCGGCUAACUUCGUG
This 484-nucleotide ribosomal RNA is filed under the name uncultured bacterium. RNAcentral's name for it is "partial 16S ribosomal RNA". It matches the Rfam family "Bacterial small subunit ribosomal RNA", at positions 30 to 507 of the family's 1533-position model. The record is from RNAcentral.